CCUACGGGAGGCAGCAGUGGGGAAUAUUGGGCAAUGGAGGCAACUCUGACCCAGCAAUGCCGCGUGAGUGAUGAAGGUAAUUUUAUUGUAAAGCUCUUUUCUUUGGAACGAAUAAAUGACGGUACCAAAGGAAUAAGCCCCGGCUAACUACGUGCCAGCAGCCGCGGUCAUACGUAGGGGGCAAGCGUUGUUCGGAAUGACUGGGGGUAAAGGGGGUGUAGGUGGUUUGAUAAGUUAGAUGUGUAAUACCCAGGGCUUAACUCGGGUGCUGCAUCUAAAACUGUUAGUCUUGAGUACUGGAGAGGAUAGUGGAAUUCCUAGUGUAGCGGUGGAAUGCGUAGAUAUUAGGAGGAACAUCAGUGGCGAAGGCGACUAUCUGGACAGCAACUGACACUGAGGCACGAAAGCGUGGGGAGCAAACAGGAUUAGAUACCCCUGUAGUC
This 443-nucleotide ribosomal RNA is filed under the name uncultured bacterium. RNAcentral describes it as "partial 16S ribosomal RNA". It matches the Rfam family "Bacterial small subunit ribosomal RNA", at positions 338 to 795 of the family's 1533-position model. The record is from RNAcentral.